UUUAGACAUUUUUUUAGGAGAAUUUUAGAAAGUACUACAACAAAAGCAAACCAAUAGUAUAUGCUCAAAUGCACUAUUAACUCUCUCUCCAGAUAACCAAAUAGAGAUAUGUUUAUAUUUUAUUAAAUUGAUGAAGUGUAUGUUAGUUUAAAUUAAUAUGUACAUGCAAUUUUAAGGUUUUAAAAAUCAGCAUUUUUAUUGGAUUAUCUCCCUUUGUACAAUAGAAAUUCAGAUUUUAUCCACACUGUCUCAGGUACUCAUGAUCAAAAUGACUUAUAUGGUAACCAGCAUGCAAGUAAAAGGUUGCAACGUGUCUUAAUUUUGUUUACCUGUCAGACACAACUUCUGAAUGUCAAUACUUAAGAUUUUUCAAUAUGAUGAACUUGACAUUGAAUUUCAUAUCAUUUUUCAGUAACCAGAAUACAACUUUAGUAAUUAGCAAAGCUGCAAUAACCAAAAAUGGGAUUACUAGGAAGAAAUGAAUGGAUUUUACUCUUUAAAGUAAUAGGGACAAGUGUACUAAAGGAAUUUGGAAUAAAAAAAAAUACCAAAAAAAAAUUGUCUUUGGCAGCUCCCCCCCUUUUUUAAGCCUAAUGCUUACUAUUGUUUGUGACACAAAAAUCCAUUUCACUUUGAAUUUUCUAUUUGAUUUACCUAUAUUGCAUGUUACAAUCUGUAUAAUUCAAGUAUUUAUUUUUGAAUGCUUGGUUUCAUUAAAAUAUGAGACUUUCCUCAAUUUAUUGCGAAAAUACAAAAAAAAGGGGGGAGGCUAUCUAAAUGAUCAAUAAAAUCUAUAAAAUUAAUUUGCAACCGAAAUCCCUUCAAAAUAUUUUGAACCAAAGAAAAUGCAAAGCAUUUCUGAAAUUUAGGGUAAAUUAAAGCGACUUUUGGGCUGUAGUGUCUGUUUUAGUGUGAUUUGAUGAAAAGGCCAUAUUUUUUAUCAUUUUAUGUGUUUUGCCACACCCUUAUUUUCUAUAUAUAUCAUUAUGUUUAAUAAAAUUAUGUGAUUUAUACUUCAUACACAUCCUAUCUGUGCUAUUAAAGUAUUUAAACACUCAGAAGUAUUAUAGUAUUUAU
This 1077-nucleotide long non-coding RNA is filed under the name Mytilus galloprovincialis (Mediterranean mussel). Lineage: Eukaryota; Metazoa; Mollusca; Bivalvia; Mytilida; Mytilidae. The record is from RNAcentral.